RNAcentral lists this small nuclear RNA (61 nucleotides) under Equus asinus (donkey). RNAcentral describes it as "U7 small nuclear RNA (ENSEASG00005004379.2, ENSEASG00020029118.1)". It matches the Rfam family "U7 small nuclear RNA". Rfam says of the family: Animal histone pre-mRNAs are spliced by a different mechanism than nuclear pre-mRNAs and self-splicing introns. This processing involves the U7 snRNP, which contains only one RNA species: U7. Lineage: Eukaryota; Metazoa; Chordata; Mammalia; Perissodactyla; Equidae. The record is from Rfam by way of RNAcentral.
UAGUAUUACAGCUCUUUUAGAAUUGUCGAACAGAUUUUCUGGUCCUCGCCAGAAGACCCCC